RNAcentral lists this non-coding RNA (24 nucleotides) under Arabidopsis thaliana (thale cress). The record is from RNAcentral. Lineage: Eukaryota; Viridiplantae; Streptophyta; Magnoliopsida; Brassicales; Brassicaceae.
AGGAGUUUAGUCACACCGAAGGAG